GACGAACGCUGGCGGCGUGCUUAACACAUGCAAGUCGAACGGUGAAGCGCCUUCCUUUUUGGUGGGUGUGGAUGAGUGGCGAACGGGUGAGUAACACGUGAGUAACCUGCCCCCUUCUUCUGGAUAACCGCAUGAAAGUGUGGCUAAUACGGGAUAUUCUGGGUCUGUCGCAUGAUGGGUCUGGGAAAGAUAUUGUUUCGGUGGGGGAUGGGCUCGCGGCCUAUCAGCUUGUUGGUGGGGUGAUGGCCUACCAAGGCGGUGACGGGUAGCCGGCCUGAGAGGGUGGACGGUCACACUGGGACUGAGACACGGCCCAGACUCCUACGGGACGCAGCAGUGGGGAAUAUUGCACAAUGGGCGCAAGCCUGAUGCAGCGACGCCGCGUGAGGGAUGGAGGCCUUCGGGUUGUGAACCUCUUUCGCCAGUGAAGCAGGCCUGCCUCGUUUGUGGGUGGGUUGACGGUAGCUGGAUAAGAAGCGCCGGCUAACUACGUG
This 494-nucleotide ribosomal RNA is filed under the name uncultured bacterium. RNAcentral's name for it is "partial 16S ribosomal RNA". It matches the Rfam family "Bacterial small subunit ribosomal RNA", at positions 28 to 507 of the family's 1533-position model. The record is from RNAcentral.